UCAAGAUAGGAAGGGCACAUGGUGGAUGCCUUGGCACCAGGAGUCGAUGAAGGGCGUGAACGGCUGCGAUAAGCCGCGGGGAGGCGCUGAAUAGCCUGUGAUCCGCGGAUUCCCGAAUGGGGAAACCCAGCGCUGGUAAUACGGCGUUACCGCAUGCUGAAUACAUAGGCAUGCGGGGGCAAGCCGGGGAACUGAAACAUCUCAGUACCCGGAGGAAAGGAAAUCAACCGAGACUCCCCGAGUAGUGGCGAGCGAAAGGGGAAUAGCCCAAACUUCGUACGUGUAAGCGGCCACGCGUUGCGUACGAGGGGUUGUAGGGCGCCUGUCCGGGAUGUGGCUGUCCCGGCGAGAGUUACAAAGCCGAUCGGUAGUUGAAGCGCGUGGAACCGCGCACCACAGAGGGCAAUCGUCCCGUAAGCGAAACCGACCGGCCUCUCGAUGGCGUUCCUGAGUAGGUCCGCACCCGUGAAACGCGGACUGAAUCUGGGGGGACCACCCUCCAAGGCUAAGUACUCCCUGGUGACCGAUAGCGGACUAGUACCGUGAGGGAAAGGUGAAAAGUACCCCGGAAGGGGAGUGAAAUAGUACCUGAAACCGCGUGCCUACAAGCGGUCGGAGCGGCCUCGUGCCGUGACGGCGUGCUUUUUGCAUAACGAGCCGGCGAGUUACUCGUCUGCGGCGAGCUUAAGCGAUGAGCGAAGGCGUAGCGAAAGCGAGUCCGAACAGGGCGACAUAGUCGUAGGCGGUAGACCCGAAACUGAGCGAGCUACCCAUGGGCAGGUUGAAGCGGGGGUAAGACCCCGUGGAGGACCGAACCGACCUAGGUUAAAAACUGGGCGGAUGACCUGUGGGUCGGAGUGAAAGGCUAAUCAAGCUCAGAGAUAUCUGGUUCUCUCCGAAAUAUAUUUAGGUAUAGCCUCGGAUCAAUUCCGUGGCGGCCGUAGAGCACUGUUUGGUCUAGGGGGCCUACCAGCUUACCGAAAUCAGGCAAACUCCGAAGACCGUCACGGCUACUCCGGGAGUCAGUUGCUGGGGGAUAAACUUCAGCGUCAAGAGGGAAACAGCCCAGACCGCCAGCUAAGGACCCUAAGUGCUAGCUAAGUGGCAAACGAUGUCCGAGUGCAUAGACAACCAGGAGGUUGGCUUAGAGGCAGCCAUCCUUGAAAGAGUGCGUAACAGCUCACUGGUCAAGUGUUCGGGCGCGGAUAAUGUAACGGGGCUCAAGCUAGCCUCCGAAGCUGCGGGUGCGUCGCAAGACGCGCGGUAGGAGAGCGUUCCCAUGGCAGUGAAGCGGCGGCGGAAGCCAGCCGUGGAGCCCUGGGAAGUGAGAAUGCCGGCAUGAGUAACGAAAGAGGGGUGAGAAUCCCCUCCGCCGAUUGCCCAAGGAUUCCUGAGUAAAGUUCGUCUGCUCAGGGUUAGUCGGGACCUAAGGCGAGGCCGAAAGGCGUAGUCGAUGGACAACAGGUUGAUAUUCCUGUACCACGUCGGAAUCAUUUGACCGAUGGGGGGACGGGGAAGGCUAAGCGAACCCAGGCGAUGGUCGUCCUGGGCCAAGCAUGUAGGGGUGGCUUCAGGCAAAUCCGAAGCCGCAUAACCUGAGGUGUGAUGGCAGCUGGCUAUAAGCCGGCGAGUCGCAGACGCCAUGCCCCCGAGAAAAGCCUCUAGGGAGAUUUCACGUGCCCGUACCAAAACCGACACAGGUGGGCAAGUAGAGAAUACUAAGGUGAUCGAGAUAACCCUCGUUAAGGAACUCGGCAAAAUCGCUCCGUAACUUCGGGAGAAGGAGCGCCCCGGUAGGGUGAAGCGCCUUGCGCGUGGAGCCCGAGGGGGCCGCAGUGAAUUGGUUCAAGCGACUGUUUACCAAAAACACAGGUCUCUGCAAAGUCGUAAGACGACGUAUAGGGGCUGACGCCUGCCCGGUGCCGGAAGGUUACGUGGAGGUGUUAGGGCUUCGGCCCGAAGCACUGAAACUAAGCCCCGGUAAACGGCGGCGGUAACUAUAACCGUCCUAAGGUAGCGAAAUUCCUUGUCGGGUAAGUUCCGACCUGCACGAAUGGCGUAACGACUU
Molecule: ribosomal RNA, 2068 nt
Filed under: uncultured bacterium ctg7180000001448
Lineage: Bacteria
Description: bacterial LSU rRNA
Rfam family: Bacterial large subunit ribosomal RNA
Source: RNAcentral